RNAcentral lists this unclassified non-coding RNA (391 nucleotides) under Hevea brasiliensis (rubber tree). Lineage: Eukaryota; Viridiplantae; Streptophyta; Magnoliopsida; Malpighiales; Euphorbiaceae. The record is from RNAcentral.
GAUAUAAUGCCUGCUUGUAGGGGAUUCCUACGUAUCCAUUAUAUUUGACUUCUCAUGUGUAGGUUUGGGGGGAUAACAGAACCACAUGGCACUUGGUUUGGUUGUCAUCUUGCCAAUAGAAGUAGCGUGCUUAUAGGUGCAAGUGAUAUGCGGUGGUGUUCUUUAACAUUAAAACCAAUAUAGACAGAUGAUUAAAAAAAUUUAGGACUUUGAGAAAUGGUAUGCUCGACACUUUAUGUCAGCAUCUCUGCAUACUUACGUGAGGCAAGAACAUAUUCAUGAACAUGUGUUUCAUUGCUGAGCCACCUUUCUUUCUCUUUCAUAGUCCAUCCCCGUGAGCUUUUUCUGAAUUCUGCCUGCUUGUGGUUAGGUUUAUUGGCAAUUUAGAUCU